AGGUGGUUUGUUAAGUCAGAUGUGAAAGCCCCGGGGCUCAACCUCGGAAUUGCAUUUGAAACUGGCAAACUAGAGUACUGUAGAGGGGGUAGAAUUUCAGGUGUAGCGGUGAAAUGCGUAGAGAUCUGAAGGAAUACCGGUGGCGAAGGCGGCCCCCCUGGACAGAUACUGACACUCAGAUGCGAAAGCGUGGGGAGCAAACAGGAUUAGAUACCCCUGGUAG
Molecule: ribosomal RNA, 223 nt
Filed under: uncultured bacterium
Lineage: Bacteria
Description: partial 16S ribosomal RNA
Rfam family: Bacterial small subunit ribosomal RNA
Source: RNAcentral